CAGGACGAACGCUGGCGGCGUGCCUAACACAUGCAAGUCGAACGAAGCUCCUGCGCGGAUUCUCGGAUGAAGCAAAGGAAGACUUAGUGGCGGACGGGUGAGUAACGCGUGAGCAACCUGCCUUUCAGAGGGGGAUAACAGUUGGAAACGACUGCUAAUACCGCAUAAUAUACAGAUGUCGCAUGGCAUUUGUAUCAAAGCUGAGGCGCUGAGAGACGGGCUCGCGUCCGAUUAGAUAGUUGGUGGGGUAACGGCCUACCAAGUCGACGAUCGGUAGCCGGACUGAGAGGUUGAACGGCCACAUUGGGACUGAGACACGGCCCAGACUCCUACGGGAGGCAGCAGUGGGGGAUAUUGCACAAUGGGCGAAAGCCCUGACGCAGCAACGCCGCGUGAGGGAAGACGGUUUUCGGAUUGUAAACCUCUGUCUUUGGUGAAGAAGGAAGUGACGGUAGCCAAGGAGGAAGCCACGGCUAACUACGUGCCAGCAGCCGC
Molecule: ribosomal RNA, 495 nt
Filed under: uncultured bacterium
Lineage: Bacteria
Description: bacterial SSU rRNA
Rfam family: Bacterial small subunit ribosomal RNA
Source: RNAcentral